Oncorhynchus mykiss (rainbow trout) is the source of this 584-nucleotide long non-coding RNA. RefSeq lists it as uncharacterized. Lineage: Eukaryota; Metazoa; Chordata; Actinopteri; Salmoniformes; Salmonidae. The record is from RefSeq and is a predicted model, not a curated record.
CAGAGUGAGAGAGAGUGGGGUGAGACACAGGGAGGAAAAACAGAGAGUUAGAGUGUGUGUGAAAGAGAGAGAAAGAGAAAGAGGGAGAGAGACAGACAGAUCGGGCAGGACAUCAGAAGAUCGGACAGCGUGUGUGAAUGUGUUUGAGUAUGUGUGUUUGUGUGUGUGUGGGACAGAGGCAGGGAGAGAGGGAGGGAGGGAGGGAGAAGAACCCAUUCCCCUCAGUUCCACACUAACUUUUCAACGUGUGCACUUGAGGGAAGUUGGCUGUUCGACCGGCUACGGAGGGUUUUUUCCUUCCCUUUUCUCCCACCUAUACACUUUUCCACGUUCUGCAAUAACAUCGACGAGACAAGCAGAGAACUUCAACAAUAACUAUCCGCUAUUAUUUCACACAGGGGACUGGGAUGUGUAGCGUGUGUGAGGAGGAGAUGGAAUAUGCUGGGGGAGAAAGAGGCGCUGCUCUGGGCUAGGUAAGAGGAGACCUGUGGUCAAGAAGAGAGCUCCAGUAUUGGAAGGCCGGCUGAAGCACUCACCAAACAGCUGGGAGUGUUCACGCUUUCUUUAUGCCAAAACAAAAGAGC